GGGGUCAAUCUUAGAUUCUACUGAAAGACAAGCUAAAGUUAUAUGCUAUAAGGGAGAUGUUUGUGCCUUCCUCAAUCAAUCACAAACAAAGACAAAUGCAAACAAUAGAAUUGCAAACGGAUUCAGAACUUUAGCAGCAUAUGUUAAAGGAGCUGUAAAUCCUUUAUGAACUGUUAGCGUAUACGCCUAACAAUUCAUUGUAGCCUCCCUUGGGAUGAGUACCGACUGGUCUGCUACACAUUUUAUGGAAAUUUUCGCUCUUAAAGUUCUAUAAAAUUAUAAAGAAGAGUCUCUUAGAACGGUUUUGAUUUAGUCUUGUUCAAAAGGGUUAUGAUAGAUUAAAUCCUCACAUUUGAUUUUUGUUUAUUUUUGAUAAAUGUGUGAAAAGAAAAUAAAAUAUUAUAGUAGAAGUAUUUCGGUAGCCUUUUAGGACAUGGGGGCAGAACCCAUUGACUCCACCA
This 461-nucleotide transfer-messenger RNA is filed under the name Candidatus Peribacteria bacterium. It matches the Rfam family "transfer-messenger RNA". From Rfam's summary of the family: Bacterial tmRNA, also known as 10Sa RNA or SsrA, is named for its dual tRNA and mRNA-like properties. Lineage: Bacteria; Candidatus Peregrinibacteriota; Candidatus Peribacteria. The record is from RNAcentral.